CCUACGGGCGGCAGCAGUGGGGAAUAUUGCACAAUGGGGGAAACCCUGAUGCAGCGACGCCGCGUGAGUGAAGAAGUAUUUCGGUAUGUAAAGCUCUAUCAGCAGGGAAGAAAAUGACGGUACCUGAUUAAGCAGCCCCGGCUAACUACGUGCCAGCAGCCGCGGUAAUAAGUAGGGGGCCAGUGUUAUCCGGAUUUACUCGGUGUAAAGGGAUAGUAGACGGCAGCAAAAGUCUGGAGGGAACUGCCGGGGCUUAACCCCGGAACUGCUGUGGAAACUGUGCAGCAAGAGUGCAGGAGAGGUAAGUGGAAUUCCUAGUGUAGCGGUGAAAUGCGGAGAUAUUAGGAGGAACACCAGUGGCGAAGGCGGCUUACUGGACUGUAACUGACGUUGAGGCUCGAAAGCGUGGGGAGCAAACAGGAUUAGAUACCCCAGUAGUC
Molecule: ribosomal RNA, 440 nt
Filed under: uncultured bacterium
Lineage: Bacteria
Description: partial 16S ribosomal RNA
Rfam family: Bacterial small subunit ribosomal RNA
Source: RNAcentral